GGGACUGUGGCCCCUCGAUGAGAGCAUCAUUAUUAUGACUCUGUCAAAAUGGCCCCGUCAUACUGGCUCUUUUCAGAAGAUGGGCUGUCUGACACAAAUGACCCGCUUUCUAAACACGCAGGCAUGCAUGUACACUCGCACACAGGUACACACACACACACACACACACACACAGGUAGACACGCACACAGGUACACACACACACAGGUACACACACACACACAGGUACACACACACACACACACAGGUACACACACACGCACACACACACACAUAUUCUUGUACAGCUAACUUUGCGGGGACACACAAUUCAGUCCCAUUCAAUAUCCUAAUUUCCCUAACCCUAACCCUCACUCUUACCAUAACCAUAACCCUAACCUUAACCCAAAGAC
Oncorhynchus tshawytscha (Chinook salmon) is the source of this 392-nucleotide long non-coding RNA. NCBI's taxonomy places the organism in Eukaryota, Metazoa, Chordata, Actinopteri, Salmoniformes, Salmonidae. The record is from Ensembl.